AGAGUUUGAUCCUGGCUCAGAACGAACGCUGGCGGCAGGCUUAACACAUGCAAGUCGAACGCACCUUCGGGUGAGUGGCAGACGGGUGAGUAACGCGUGGGAACGUGCCCUUCGGUUCGGAAUAACCCAGGGAAACUUGGGCUAAUACCGGAUACGUGCGAGAGCAGAAAGAUUUAUCGCUGAAGGAUCGGCCCGCGUCUGAUUAGCUAGUUGGUGGGGUAAUGGCCCACCAAGGCGACGAUCAGUAGCUGGUCUGAGAGGAUGAUCAGCCACAUUGGGACUGAGACACGGCCCAAACUCCUACGGGAGGCAGCAGUGGGGAAUAUUGGACAAUGGGCGCAAGCCUGAUCCAGCCAUGCCGCGUGAGUGAUGAAGGCCUUAGGGUUGUAAAGCUCUUUCGGCGGGGACGAUAAUGACGGUACCCGCAGAAGAAGCCCCGGCUAACUUCGUGCCAGCAGCCGCGGUAAUACGAAGGGGGCUAGCGUUGUUCGGAAUCACUGGGCGUAAAGGGCGCGUAGGCGGCUUGAUAAGUCGGGGGUGAAAGACGGUCGCUCAACGAUCGCAGUGCCCUGGAUACUGGGUAUCUUGAGUACAGAUGAGGCUGAUGGAAUGGGUGGUGUAGCGGUGAAAUGCAUAGAUACCAUCCAGAACACCGAUUGCGAAGGCAGUCAGCUAAACUGGCACUGACGCUGAGGCACGAAAGCGUGGGGAUCAAACAGGAUUAGAUACCCCCGUAGUCC
This 740-nucleotide ribosomal RNA is filed under the name uncultured Hyphomicrobiales bacterium. Its description in RNAcentral is "bacterial SSU rRNA". It matches the Rfam family "Bacterial small subunit ribosomal RNA", at positions 8 to 796 of the family's 1533-position model. The record is from RNAcentral. Lineage: Bacteria; Pseudomonadati; Pseudomonadota; Alphaproteobacteria; Hyphomicrobiales.